GAUGAACGCUGGCGGCGUGCCUAAUACAUGCAAGUCGAGCGAACAGACGAGGAGCUUGCUCCUUUGACGUUAGCGGCGGACGGGUGAGUAACACGUGGGUAACCUACCUAUAAGACUGGGAUAACUUCGGGAAACCGGAGCUAAUACCGGAUAAUAUUUCGAACCGCAUGGUUCGAUAGUGAAAGAUGGCUUUGCUAUCACUUAUAGAUGGACCUGCGCCGUAUUAGCUAGUUGGUAAGGUAACGGCUUACCAAGGCAACGAUACGUAGCCGACCUGAGAGGGUGAUCGGCCACACUGGAACUGGAACACGGUCCAGACUCCUACGGGAGGCAGCAGUAGGGAAUCUUCCGCAAUGGGCGGAAGCCUGACGGAGCAACGCCGCGUGAGUGAUGAAGGUCUUCGGAUCGUAAAACUCUGUUAUUAGGGAAGAACAAACGUGUAAGUAACUGUGCACGUCUUGACGGUACCUAAUCAGAAAGCCACGGCUAACUACGUG
RNAcentral lists this ribosomal RNA (497 nucleotides) under uncultured bacterium. RNAcentral's name for it is "partial 16S ribosomal RNA". It matches the Rfam family "Bacterial small subunit ribosomal RNA", at positions 28 to 507 of the family's 1533-position model. The record is from RNAcentral.